Erysiphe necator (grape powdery mildew) is the source of this 108-nucleotide transfer RNA. It matches the Rfam family "tRNA". From Rfam's summary of the family: Transfer RNA (tRNA) molecules are approximately 80 nucleotides in length. NCBI's taxonomy places the organism in Eukaryota, Fungi, Ascomycota, Leotiomycetes, Helotiales, Erysiphaceae. The record is from Rfam.
GUCUUCGUGGCUCAGUUGGUUAGAGCGUUGGUCUCAUAUCUCGAUAUGACUCUCGUGCACACAUGAGGGGGCAUCCAAAAGUCGCGAGUUCGAGUCUCGCCGAGGACA